AUUGCCCUAGUAACGGCGAGUGAAGCGGCAACAGCUCAAAUUUGAAAUCUGGCUCUUUCAGGGUCCGAGUUGUAAUUUGUAGAGGGUGCUUUGGAGUUGACUGUGGUCUAAGUUCCUUGGAACAGGACGUCGCAGAGGGUGAGAAUCCCGUAUGUGGCCGCCAGUCUUCGCCGUGUAAAGCCCCUUCGACGAGUCGAGUUGUUUGGGAAUGCAGCUCUAAAUGGGAGGUAAAUUUCUUCUAAAGCUAAAUAUUGGCCAGAGACCGAUAGCGCACAAGUAGAGUGAUCGAAAGAUGAAAAGCACUUUGGAAAGAGAGUCAAAAAGCACGUGAAAUUGUUGAAAGGGAAGCGCUUGCAGCCAGACUUGCCUGUAGUUGCUCAUCCGGGCUUUUGCCCGGUGCACUCUUCUAUAGGCAGGCCAGCAUCAGUCCUGGCGGUCGGAUAAAUGCCUGCUGAAUGUACCUCUCCUCGGGGAGG
RNAcentral lists this ribosomal RNA (476 nucleotides) under Preussia sp. PAL2.1. Its description in RNAcentral is "eukaryotic LSU rRNA". It matches the Rfam family "Eukaryotic large subunit ribosomal RNA", at positions 74 to 554 of the family's 3401-position model. The record is from RNAcentral. Lineage: Eukaryota; Fungi; Ascomycota; Dothideomycetes; Pleosporales; Sporormiaceae.